This 253-nucleotide ribosomal RNA is filed under the name uncultured bacterium. RNAcentral's name for it is "partial 16S ribosomal RNA". It matches the Rfam family "Bacterial small subunit ribosomal RNA", at positions 524 to 776 of the family's 1533-position model. The record is from RNAcentral.
UACAGAGGGUGCGAGCGUUAAUCGGAAUUACUGGGCGUAAAGCGUGCGUAGACGGUAAUGUAAGUCAGAUGUGAAAGCCCCGGGCUCAACCUGGGAAUUGCAUUUGAGACUGCAUUGCUUGGGUGCGGAAGAGGGAAGCGGAAUUUCCGGUGUAGCGGUGAAAUGCGUAGAGAUCGGGGGGAACACCAGUGGCGAAGGCGGCCUUCUGGACCAAUACUGACGCUCAUGCACGAAAGCGUGGGGAGCAAACAGG